UAGGGAAUUGUUCGCAAUGGGCGCAAGCCUGACGACGCAACGCCGCGUGGAGGAUGAAGCCCUUCGGGUCGUAAACUCCUUUCGACCGAGAUGAACAUCCGCCGAUCUAAUAAAUUGGCGGACUGACAGUAUCGAGGGAAGCAGCCCCGGCUAACUCCGUGCCAGCAGCCGCGGUAAUACGGGGGGGGCAAGCGUUGUUCGGAAUUAUUGGGCGUAAAGGGUUCGUAGGUGGCCGGCUAAGUCAGACGUGAAAUCCCUCAGCUUAACUGGGGAACUGCGUCUGAAACUGAUCGGCUUGAGUGCAGGAGAGGAACGCGGAAUUCCAGGUGUAGCGGUGAAAUGCGUAGAUAUCUGGAGGAACACCGGUGGCGAAGGCGGCGUUCUGGACUGCAACUGACACUGAGGAACGAAAGCCAGGGGAGCAAACGG
RNAcentral lists this ribosomal RNA (429 nucleotides) under uncultured bacterium. Its description in RNAcentral is "bacterial SSU rRNA". It matches the Rfam family "Bacterial small subunit ribosomal RNA", at positions 355 to 775 of the family's 1533-position model. The record is from RNAcentral.